AUCAACAGCAAUUUUAAGUUUAUUUAUUACUAAAGGCAAAAAACAACUAAAAAUAUAGACUAGAUUCGACAAAAUGCUCAUGAAUGUAAACCUCAAAUAUAUAAACUGAACAACUUGAUUACUUCAUUAACUAUUAUAGCUUUCAAAUUUACUAACACACUCAUUUAAUAUCCCAAACAACCCUAUGACUGAUUGAAAUUAAAAUAACUACUGGAAACCUUUACUAAUCAUGACUUGGUUCUACCAUCCUACAACGAAAAUAACUAACUCAUGUCUAACUAAUAACACUCACACAAAUCGGAGAAAAAUAGUCUCACACAGUCCAAUAUGAAUCAAACAGUCCAAACAAUUUAGAAGUAAUCCUAAUUAAAGUCCAAAUCAUUACAGUCGACUAUAAUGAAAACAUCGCAACAAUUGGAGCUUCCAUUAGAAUUAUGCUUCCAUUUCAUUUCAUUUCAGCUGAAGAUCUACAUGAUUCUAAGAUUCAGGAUAGGUACCCGGGUGUUAAAUCACAGUAAGAAGAAGGUAAGAAGAAGCAGCAACAGAGGUUAUAUAACAGCUCAAAUUAGAGUUCACAGCUUCAACAAACAAUAUCAAUACUAAUCUAGAAUUGCAUUCCGAGAGGGACAGUAUCAAUAAUAAACCAAAUGAACUUGAAGAAAACCCAGACAAACUCAGAACUAGACCAGGACCACUUCUGAAAUCAACAGCUAAUAAAAACAGCCUGAAACAGUCUCACUAGAACCCAAACCCACUCGAGAUGCACUCAGGAAUCUCCAGAAAAUUUCAGUAACCAAACUAUAGACUAAAUGUUGCAAAUCAAAUACCGAAAUUCAAAAUCAACCUGAAAACUUUCAAUAGAACUGUUUUUUUGAUUUUCUGUAGUUUCUGUUUUUGUAUUUUUGUUUUCUGUUGGGAUGAACUAAGAUCUAAAGAGCUUUGAAUUUUGAAUUCAAAUUUAAGAUCUGCUGAAAUUAUAUAGACUAUUUUUUGGGCGGAAAUUUAGAGAGUGAAAAACUUGUUGCCUAAGGCACUAUUCAUGCCCUUUUAUAGGCAAAGAUGAUGACUCUAUCAGAUUCUGUAGUUUUUUAACCUAGUCCCUCUUUAUUUUCAGAUUAGUCCUCUAUUUUUUAACUUGCUUCUCAGGUUAACACACUCAUCUUCUGAAAUUUACCUUAACACCCACCUCUAGAAGCUUCUAGGAAGUUCUUGAUAGAUUCCCUACCCUUGAGUACCUAUACCCUUGACUUGGUCCUGAUAUUACUAACCAACCUCCAGCCCUGUUAACUAACCAAACAUCUUGUCUAACUAACUGUAGUUAAACCAGCAUUUCUGAAAAUCGAACAGCUAAAAACCAAACAAAUCCUAAGAGUUGAACUAACAAGGAGAUUAAUUCUAAAAUCAGUAAAUAACCAAGUAAAACAACACUGAAAAUUGAUCUAACCACCAACCAAACAGAGCUUAAACAAAAAUUAAUCUAACUAAUCUAAUUAGCUGACAUUUAAUUCUAAACAAAUAACAAUUACCUAGUAUAGUCCCACAAAGUGGAGUCUGGGGUAAUAUGUAGAUGAGCCUUACCCCUACCCGAAAGGGCAGAGAGGCUGUUUCCAAUAAACUCUAAACAAAUAGAAAUCUCAAAUGUCGUAAAGCUAACACAACAAUGAACUAAUUAAAAUCAAACAUAGCCAAAAAUGAAACCAACUAUGAAGACUAAACGGCCAGAAAUCAAAAAAUGCAAAGCGACAGUUAAACAUGGAACCCUACUAUGGAAUCAAACUGGCAAAUUACUAAAACAAACUAACUAUAUAGUAAAGAAAGAUCAGAACCCUCAAUUGAAAUCCUAAUUCACCACAACGAUAACAAACUUUGAAUAAAAACAAAACGAUAAUAAUAAAAAGCAACUGAAAACAUAGAAGAAAGGUCAAACUCACUGAUUUGAGCCUUCGACUUGACUGAACUUGGAAUUGAUCUUCAAAUGAUAUUAUGUGUUUGUUCUUACCAAGAACAAACACAUAACAUGAUUUUAAAAUCAUUCGAACACCGACUGACACUGAAAAUUCAAGCAACCUUGACAGCAAACCCUAGAUUUGGGAUUCGAAACUUUUUAGUCGGAUUGGGGAAAAUAGCUUGGUGAUUUGGACGUAUGAGAGUUAAGAGAGUAUGGGGUGUGAAUUUGGUAGAUUUUGGAUGAACUUGUAUUUUGGACCGGACCUUUGAUUUAAUAUUCGAAACGUUAGGUUGUGAUUUGAGGAAAACUAUGGCCAGAUUCGAGAUGAGGGAGAAAAGGAGAUUCUAGGGUGUUAUUUUGGUGGGUGUUGGCGUCGGCGCCGCCACCGGAGACGGUGGGGAAUUAGUGGAGGCUCAAUUAGGGUUCUUGUGAAGAGGGUCUGUGAGGGAGACGAUUCGGGGGUAUGGGGGUUUCAGACACUAAUAUAUGAAGGU
RNAcentral lists this long non-coding RNA (2442 nucleotides) under Nicotiana benthamiana. Its description in RNAcentral is "long non-coding RNA (NBEN_LNC037579)". The record is from RNAcentral. Lineage: Eukaryota; Viridiplantae; Streptophyta; Magnoliopsida; Solanales; Solanaceae.